RNAcentral lists this ribosomal RNA (119 nucleotides) under Pseudomonas syringae pv. actinidiae. RNAcentral's name for it is "partial 16S ribosomal RNA". It matches the Rfam family "Bacterial small subunit ribosomal RNA", at positions 1 to 116 of the family's 1533-position model. Lineage: Bacteria; Pseudomonadati; Pseudomonadota; Gammaproteobacteria; Pseudomonadales; Pseudomonadaceae. The record is from RNAcentral.
GAACUGAAGAGUUUGAUCAUGGCUCAGAUUGAACGCUGGCGGCAGGCCUAACACAUGCAAGUCGAGCGGCAGCACGGGUACUUGUACCUGGUGGCGAGCGGCGGACGGGUGAGUAAUGC